RNAcentral lists this ribosomal RNA (253 nucleotides) under uncultured bacterium. RNAcentral's name for it is "partial 16S ribosomal RNA". It matches the Rfam family "Bacterial small subunit ribosomal RNA", at positions 524 to 776 of the family's 1533-position model. The record is from RNAcentral.
UACGAAGGGGGCUAGCGUUGUUCGGAUUUACUGGGCGUAAAGCGCACGUAGGCGGAUCGUUAAGUCAGGGGUGAAAUCCUGGAGCUCAACUCCAGAACUGCCUUUGAUACUGGCGAUCUUGAGUCCGGAAGAGGUGAGUGGAACUUCUAGUGUAGAGGUGGAAUUCGUAGAUAUUAGGAAGAACACCAGUGGCGAAGGCGGCUCACUGGUCCGGUACUGACGCUGAGGUGCGAAAGCGUGGGGAGCAAACAGG